GAACACUGGACUGUUAAAUGCAAAAGGGUUAUUUUCUUUCAUAAAUAUUUACACCUAUUUCUUUCAGGUUAUUAUUUCUCCCUUUUGAAAUGAAGUUGUGCUGUUAUCUCAGGAAGGUCUUGGAAUAUAGAAUUUUAGCUGGAAGAAAGCCAUGAUGAAGCUAUCUAAAUAAACCUGAGUGUAGUAAAUCACAAAUUAAACGAUGCUGGAGUUCUGUGGAUAUCAGCUGCCAUCAGGGGCAUUUUGUUGAAAGAGAUGUUAAAUGAACUUCUAAGUUUGAAGUAUUUGGGACAAAAUUCACUGGCCAGACUCCAAGAUUGCGGGUAAUUGAAUGAAGAUCUUUUACAGAAAGUAAUUAGGACUAAUUUGAACAGGAGCUCCAGGAAUGAACUUUCAAUAAUUUCUUUUGAGCUAAGAGUAAGGGCCACUUGCGAUAUCAUCCACAAAUCUACUACAGGAAAAGCUUUAAAAAAAAAUAUAUAUAUACCUCCAUAAAUUCCUUUUUGUAAGACUCUAAAUGUAAGCAAAGUUUUGCUAUCCAAGUUCUGGAAAGCCAGGGAAUUUGGUGAAGUUGUAUCGAGUAAAGAAGAGCAGACAUCAUUGCCAAAUCACUUUUCUAGACCAUAAGA
This is a long non-coding RNA of Mus spicilegus (steppe mouse), 629 nucleotides long. The record is from Ensembl. Lineage: Eukaryota; Metazoa; Chordata; Mammalia; Rodentia; Muridae.